RNAcentral lists this ribosomal RNA (497 nucleotides) under uncultured bacterium. RNAcentral describes it as "partial 16S ribosomal RNA". It matches the Rfam family "Bacterial small subunit ribosomal RNA", at positions 28 to 507 of the family's 1533-position model. The record is from RNAcentral.
GAUGAACGCUGGCGGCGUGCCUAAUACAUGCAAGUCGAGCGAACAGACGAGGAGCUUGCCCCUCUGACGUUAGCGGCGGACGGGUGAGUAACACGUGGAUAACCUACCUAUAAGACUGGGAUAACUUCGGGAAACCGGAGCUAAUACCGGAUAAUAUAUUGAACCGCAUGGUUCAAUAGUGAAAGACGGUUUUGCUGUCACUUAUAGAUGGAUCCGCGCCGCAUUAGCUAGUUGGUAAGGUAACGGCUUACCAAGGCAACGAUGCGUAGCCGACCUGAGAGGGUGAUCGGCCACACUGGAACUGAGACACGGUCCAGACUCCUACGGGAGGCAGCAGUAGGGAAUCUUCCGCAAUGGGCGAAAGCUUGACGGAGCAACGCCGCGUGAGUGAUGAAGGUCUUCGGAUCGUAAAACUCUGUUAUUAGGGAAGAACAAAUGUGUAAGUAACUAUGCACGUCUUGACGGUACCUAAUCAGAAAGCCACGGCUAACUACGUG